GAUGAACGCUGGCGGCGUGCCUAAUACAUGCAAGUCGAGCGAACAGACGAGGAGCUUGCUCCUCUGACGUUAGCGGCGGACGGGUGAGUAACACGUGGAUAACCUACCUAUAAGACUGGGAUAACUUCGGGAAACCGGAGCUAAUACCGGAUAAUAUAUUGAACCGCAUGGUUCAAUAGUGAAAGACGGUUUUGCUGUCACUUAUAGAUGGAUCCGCGCCGCAUUAGCUAGUUGGUAAGGUAACGGCUUACAAAGGCAACGAUGCGUAGCCGACCUGAGAGAGUGAUCGGCCACACUGGAACUGAGACACGGUCCAGACUCCUACGGGAGGCAGCAGUAGGGAAUCUUCCGCAAUGGGCGAAAGCCUGACGGAGCAACGCCGCGUGAGUGAUGAAGGUCUUCGGAUCGUAAAACUCUGUUAUUAGGGAAGAACAAAUGUGUAAGUAACUAUGCACGUCUUGACGGUACCUAAUCAGAAAGCCACGGCUAACUACGUG
RNAcentral lists this ribosomal RNA (497 nucleotides) under uncultured bacterium. RNAcentral's name for it is "partial 16S ribosomal RNA". It matches the Rfam family "Bacterial small subunit ribosomal RNA", at positions 28 to 507 of the family's 1533-position model. The record is from RNAcentral.